ACACGUCUACAUUAGAUACCCCCGUAGUCCCAGCCGUAAACUAUGCGCGUUAGGUGUAUCGGUGACCACGAGUCACCGAGGUGCCGAAGGGAAACCGUGAAACGUGCCGCCUGGGAAGUACGGUCGCAAGGCUGAAACUUAAGGAAUUGCGGGGAGCACCACAACAGGUGGAGCCUGCGGUUUAAUUGGACUCAACGCCGGGAAGCUCACCGGAUAGGACAGCAGAAUGAUUGCCGGGCUGAAGACUCUGCAUGACUAGCUG
RNAcentral lists this ribosomal RNA (262 nucleotides) under uncultured archaeon. Its description in RNAcentral is "partial 16S ribosomal RNA". It matches the Rfam family "Archaeal small subunit ribosomal RNA", at positions 717 to 982 of the family's 1478-position model. The record is from RNAcentral.